Molecule: ribosomal RNA, 297 nt
Filed under: Clostridioides difficile
Lineage: Bacteria; Bacillati; Bacillota; Clostridia; Peptostreptococcales; Peptostreptococcaceae
Description: partial 23S ribosomal RNA
Rfam family: Bacterial large subunit ribosomal RNA
Source: RNAcentral
UCGGCAAAAUGACCCCGCAACUUAGGGUUAAGGGGUGCCACCAUCCUCUGGACGCAGCGAAUAGGCCCAAGCGACUGUUUACCAAAAACAUAGGUUUCUGCUAAGUCGCAAGACGAUGUAUAGGAGCUGACGCCUGCCCGGUGCUGGUAGGUUAAGGGGAUCUGUUAGAGCACUCGCAGCAGUUAACUUAAGCCCCAGUCAACCGCGGCCGUCACUAUAACGCCCGAAGGUCGCGAAAUUCCUUGUCGGGUAAGUUCCGACCCGCACGAAAGGCGUAACGAUUUGGGCACUGUCUCA